This 253-nucleotide ribosomal RNA is filed under the name uncultured bacterium. RNAcentral's name for it is "partial 16S ribosomal RNA". It matches the Rfam family "Bacterial small subunit ribosomal RNA", at positions 524 to 776 of the family's 1533-position model. The record is from RNAcentral.
UACGUAGGGCGCAAGCGUUGUCCGGAAUUAUUGGGCGUAAAGAGCUCGUAGGCGGUUUGUCGCGUCUGUCGUGAAAGCCCACGGCUUAACUGUGGGUCUGCGGUGGAUACGGGCAGACUAGAGGCAGGUAGGGGAGAAUGGAAUUCCCGGUGUAGCGGUGAAAUGCGCAGAUAUCGGGAGGAACACCGGUGGCGAAGGCGGUUCUCUGGGCCUGUACUGACGCUGAGACGCGAAAGCGUGGGGAGCGAACAGG